This 74-nucleotide transfer RNA is filed under the name Sulfolobaceae archaeon. It matches the Rfam family "tRNA". From Rfam's summary of the family: Transfer RNA (tRNA) molecules are approximately 80 nucleotides in length. Their secondary structure includes four short double-helical elements and three loops (D, anti-codon, and T loops). Further hydrogen bonds mediate the characteristic L-shaped molecular structure. tRNAs have two regions of fundamental functional importance: the anti-codon, which is responsible for specific mRNA codon recognition, and the 3' end, to which the tRNAs corresponding amino acid is attached (by aminoacyl-tRNA synthetases). tRNAs cope with the degeneracy of the genetic code in two manners: having more than one tRNA (with a specific anti-codon) for a particular amino acid; and 'wobble' base-pairing, i.e. permitting non-standard base-pairing at the 3rd anti-codon position. Lineage: Archaea; Thermoproteati; Thermoproteota; Thermoprotei; Sulfolobales; Sulfolobaceae. The record is from Rfam by way of RNAcentral.
GGGCCCGUAGCUCAGCUAGGUAGAGCGGCGGGCUUUUAACCCGUAGGUCCCGGGUUCGAAUCCCGGCGGGCCCG